GAUGAACGCUGGCGGCGUGCUUAACACAUGCAAGUCGAACGGAGCGUCUUUGAUAGAGGAUUCGUCCAAUUGAUAAGAUUGCUUAGUGGCGGACGGGUGAGUAACGCGUGAGGAACCUGCCUUGGAUGGGGAAUAACAGUUAGAAAUGACUGCUAAUACCGCAUAAUGCAUUUGAGUCGCAUGGCUCUGAAUGCCAAAGNUUUAUCGCUCUAAGAUGGCCUCGCGUCUGAUUAGCUAGUUGGUAGGGUAACGGCCUACCAAGGCGACGAUCAGUAGCCGGACUGAGAGGUUGGCCGGCCACAUUGGGACUGAGACACGGCCCAGACUCCUACGGGAGGCCAGGCAGUGGGGAAUACUUGGGCAAUGGGCGCAAGCCUGACCCAGCAACGCCGCGUGAAGGAGAAGGCUUUC
RNAcentral lists this ribosomal RNA (411 nucleotides) under uncultured bacterium. Its description in RNAcentral is "bacterial SSU rRNA". It matches the Rfam family "Bacterial small subunit ribosomal RNA", at positions 28 to 419 of the family's 1533-position model. The record is from RNAcentral.